Molecule: ribosomal RNA, 449 nt
Filed under: uncultured bacterium
Lineage: Bacteria
Description: partial 16S ribosomal RNA
Rfam family: Bacterial small subunit ribosomal RNA
Source: RNAcentral
AACGAACGCUGGCGGCAGGCCUAACACAUGCAAGUCGAACGCCCUGGCAACAGGGAGUGGCAGACGGGUGAGUAACGCGUGGGAACGUGCCCUUCGGUUCGGAAUAACUCAGGGAAACUUGAGCUAAUACCGAAUACGUGCGAGAGCAGAAAGAUUUAUCGCCGAAGGAUCAGCCCGCGUCCGAUUAGCUAGUUGGUGAGGUAAUGGCUCACCAAGGCGACGAUUAGUAGCCGGUCUGAGAGGAUGAUCAGCCACACUGGGACUGAGACACGGCCCAGACUCCUACGGGAGGCAGCAGUGGGGAAUAUUGGACAAUGGGGGCAACCCUGAUCCAGCCAUGCCGCGUGAGUGAUGAAGGCCUUAGGGUUGUAAAGCUCUUUUACCCGGGACGAUAAUGGCUGUACCGGGAGAAUAAGCCCCGGCUAACUUCGUGCCAGCCGCCGCAGUAA